RNAcentral lists this transfer RNA (65 nucleotides) under Popillia sp. POP01. Its description in RNAcentral is "tRNA-Gly". Lineage: Eukaryota; Metazoa; Arthropoda; Insecta; Coleoptera; Scarabaeidae. The record is from RNAcentral.
AUUUAUAUAGUAUAAAUAUUAUAAUUGAUUUCCAAUCAAAAGAUCUAUGUUAAUUAGUAUAAAUA